UGGGGAAUUUUGGACAAUGGGGGAAACCCUGAUCCAGCCAUCCCGCGUGUGCGAUGAAGGCCUUCGGGUUGUAAAGCACUUUUGGCAGGAAAGAAACGUCAUGGGUUAAUACCCCGUGAAACUGACGGUACCUGCAGAAUAAGCACCGGCUAACUACGUGCCAGCAGCCGCGGUAAUACGUAGGGUGCAAGCGUUAAUCGGAAUUACUGGGCGUAAAGCGUGCGCAGGCGGUUCGGAAAGAAAGAUGUGAAAUCCCAGAGCUCAACUUUGGAACUGCAUUUUUAACUACCGGGCUAGGGGGUGUCAGAGGGGGGUGGAAUUCCGCGUGUAGCAGUGAAAUGCGUAGAUAUGCGGAGGAAAACCGAUGGCGAAGGCAGCCUCCUGGGAUAACACUGACGCUCAUGCACGAAAGCGUGGGGAGCAAACAGG
This 429-nucleotide ribosomal RNA is filed under the name Acidobacteriota bacterium. RNAcentral describes it as "Acidobacteria bacterium partial 16S ribosomal RNA". It matches the Rfam family "Bacterial small subunit ribosomal RNA", at positions 355 to 776 of the family's 1533-position model. The record is from RNAcentral. Lineage: Bacteria; Pseudomonadati; Acidobacteriota.